CGUAGCUUCUUAUAAAUAUGUAUAUAUAUAUUUUUAUAUUUCUUUAUUUAGAUCUAUAUUUUGUAUUAUUUUAAAAGAUAGACAAUGCAAUCUUCGUUGACGUUUACGUGUAGAGUGCUUUCUUUCACGUUCGCACUUUGAACAAUCGAGUAUGGCGUGCCAAAUAAACAUUUUGAAAAGAUAAUUAUUACGGAUCAAUAACAUACAUUAUGUAUUCAGACGACAUAAGACACCAUGUGACAAUUUUAAGAGAAACAGAGCUGCUUUUUUCUCACAUCUACAAUGGAAAAAAACAAACAAACAAAAAAACGACAAACCAAAUAUUUUUAAAUCAAUACGAAAGCCAGUAAAUAAUUUGAAUCCGUUUUCAAUAAUCAAGAUAUAUGUAACUUUAAUAUGAAUAUAAAUCUGAUACAGAAUUUAAUAUGUUUAAAACGAUUUAAAAAUUAUGCAAGUAGUCAUAAAAAUUGCUCUGCAUAAUGAGUUUAAUAUCAUAUUGCACAGGAAGAGAAAAUAAAAGUACGACGUCGUGUGAGAAGGUAUGGCGUAUAUAUUUAAUGUCCAUUAUAGUUAUUAACAACACCUUGUACAAAUAUUAUUUUCGAAAAUAAAACAGUUUAAUAAAACAAACAAAACUAUCCAAUUCGAUGAGGGUCAUGAAAAGGGGAGUAGCGGAUCGAAAGAUGUUCUUUUUUUCUCUAUUCAGUAAGAAAUAUUUUCUGUAAAAUUCUUAUCGUGCAUAUGCAUAUGGAAAUUUCCUUCUGUAUCAUGAUUUUGACAUGAUAAAUGAUUUGUCUGGAUCAACGACAUAUGUAUGACAACAAUACCCCCCCCCCCCCCGAAUCUGUCACUGUACUACUGUAUUGCACAAAUGAUACAUUCCUGAAUAUCAAGAUUUUAACUGAUAUCUGUUUAAAACCAAACAGGGAGGGGGAUUUUUUUUUCUUUCUUUGUAAAACUUUUGAUAUCUAAGAUAAUGAAUAGUAGAUAGGAUGACAUAACAUGUGGGUAUAUUUGAUUUAUACAUGUAUUUGGUUUAGUAGAUAUGAGGUACCGGUACUGUAAUCUAAAUGAUGUACCAGUAGUAAAUUGUAAAAAUAGAUUUCAGAGAGAAAAGACAUUGAUAGGCCCAACUGUCCAACAAAAUAUAAAAAAUUGCCUAAAAUUCAUCUAUUUUGGAGCAUAUAUUUAAAAUUUAUUGGAAGUGAACAAAAAAAAAAAAAAAAAAAAAAAAAUCGAAAACAAUGUUACAUUAAUUAUCCGUCCUCGAGUAUCAGUCAAACAGCCCUUACCAAAAAAUAUUGUAUUAAAUUGCAAUGAAUUAUGGAUCUUACAAAACUGGAACAUAAGACGUAGUAAGCAUGCUGGCGAACGUGAGAUCAGACUUUUUUUAUUCUGUAAUUCUAUUUCAAAGUCAUAAUAAACAGGUGACCGGUGAAAUAUAAUGGUAUUCCAAUUCUUGAACCAAUGCAUACAAACAUCAUAAACUAAGUCUCUCUGCACGAUUUUAUCAUUUUUUUUUUGCAUAAAUUUUGUAUAAACGUCAUUUUUUUUUCAAUCGGUCAGUGAAAAUAAGGCAGGUAUUAAAGUUCGUGUUUUUAAGCCGAAAUUUUACGAUUGUCACCUGUUUGUCAACAAUCCACCAAAAAGCAUGGAUAUUGAGCACGUGUUUAACAUGUACAAUCAGAUAAUAGUUUAUUUUAAGGACAUCCAUGCGUAUUGUGAUCACCAGAUUUUUACGAGAUGGGUCACACGGAG
RNAcentral lists this long non-coding RNA (1758 nucleotides) under Mytilus galloprovincialis (Mediterranean mussel). The record is from RNAcentral. Lineage: Eukaryota; Metazoa; Mollusca; Bivalvia; Mytilida; Mytilidae.